Haplochromis burtoni (Burton's mouthbrooder) is the source of this 1526-nucleotide long non-coding RNA. RefSeq lists it as uncharacterized. The record is from RefSeq and is a predicted model, not a curated record. The transcript has 2 exons. Lineage: Eukaryota; Metazoa; Chordata; Actinopteri; Cichliformes; Cichlidae.
UGGGCUGCUCAUCCUCUGAGUCACUAUAUGUGUACAGGGGAUUUGGUCUAAAGAAAAAAAGUUGAAAACGGUCAUAAGUAAUUACAAAUGUGCUUUUGGAAUAUUUUUUCCUAAAGUUACAGUUUGAUUUAUAACAACACACACAGGAAACGGAGAUGUGCAAGAAGGUACAGUAUACAAGGGAUUUUUGAAGUGCACAAGUGUACACGGCUUUGCAUUUAUAAAAAGUUUACAAGCUUCCACUUUUUGGACUAUAUUAUGUGGUGAUAUUGCAGAUAAACAGGAAACAGAUAAUUACAAUAUAUUUCAUAGUCACUACAAAACUUGAUCUAUUGAUUGAACUAAAUAAUAAAUAAUAGCUUAAAAUGUAUAUAGGCAACAAUUACAAGCAAACCCGUAUAUGUAAGCAUUUAAACACUGAAGAUAAUAAAAUUAACAGUAUUUUGUCUAAGUCUGCCAUUGUAGGAAUUCAUGGCACCGAGACAAAAACUUGGCGCACAGUGUGGCGUCAAAAUAGGCGCACACCUUUGACGCUGCGUUUUCUCCGUCUUCCUCGUCCACACGUAAAUGCUAAACGCAGUUUACGUGUGGACAAAAGGUGCAAACGCAAGUUAGGUGAGCGUGCAGCGUAAAGUUAGGUGAGUGUGCAGCGUAAAGUUUGAAUUGAGUGCGAAUCGAAGCGGGUGCUCUCCAAUCAUUAAAAGUAACAAAGUCAUUGAACACAUUUAUACAGUUACCUUUACGUUUAUCAAUCAUAUAUCACAGAUUUACAAUUUUUUGUAGUACUAUGCUAAAAAGCAACUACAGAGCGAAAGUCUGGGUCAAGCGCCGAGGCGACGGCAAGAACAAAGGAACCCUCGAAGCGUUAAAGCUAGCUUUGUAAGGGAAUAUAACGGAAAAGUAUGAAACGAAAAUGUUUUCUUUGUUGAUAGACUUUGUUUGCAGUGCAAUUUAUUUGUUGCCGGAUUGUAAGAUGAAAGUAGACACAAUUUCGGGCUCCCACAUUUUAUCCGAAACUUUACAUUAACAAGUUUGUUUGUUUUUUUUACUGUUAUUCAAAUGCAACCGUGGAAAUAACGAAUAGAACAAAAGUCAUUCAUUCUUACCUUAUACUAAUCGUGGUGCAGGCCAGUGCAGUGCAUGAACUGAUGCCUUCUCCGGUCAAUUCCGCUGAGAGUAAAUCUAAUGUCCCGCUCUACUGUACAAGACAAUGGUUACCUGGAGGGAUGUACCAAUGUGAUAGGGGUGCUGCGGAAUAGUCCAAGUGGUAGCAGCUUUAAUUUCCCGCUCAACCAUAAAUCGAUGGUUUUUCAACGUGAUUGUUGUCACCUUGUCAACUAUAAAUAGAUCAACAAUCAACGAUGACAGAACAACAGUGAAUCAAUGUUAUUUCAAUGUCAGUGUCAGGUUUCAUCAGUAUUUCAAUGUUGUUUCAACAUUGGUUUUGUGUUGACAUUUCAAUCCUGACGAUUCUGAUGGUUCAGAUGGAAAAUCAACAUCUGUUCAAUGUCUCCUUGCUAUCUGGG